Molecule: long non-coding RNA, 228 nt
Filed under: Malus domestica (apple)
Lineage: Eukaryota; Viridiplantae; Streptophyta; Magnoliopsida; Rosales; Rosaceae
Description: long non-coding RNA (MDOM_LNC013396)
Source: RNAcentral
GUGCUUGUUUGUGGUUCAUUAUUAAUCUCAUUAAUUUCCAUCUCUUUGCUUAUAGUUCCUUUGAGAACAAAUUGUUCCUCUAGAAACAUAGCAGUUCUGGCGACAAAGACUUUCUGGUCGUCAGGAUGGUAGAACUCAUAUCCCAUAGUUUACAAUAAACUUAGUUUUCAAAUUUACAGCACAUGUCAAUCAUCUCGUUUAAAGAAUGAUCGAAUCUAUUCACUUUAU